AAGAGGUGUUGCCUCACAGUGCCAGAGAUCCAGGUUCAGUCCCAACCUUGUGUGGAGUUUGCACAUUCUUCCUACGAUCUCGUGGGUUUCCUCCCAAAUGUGUGUAGGCUAAUUGGACUCUGUGAGUCAUCCAUUAUGUGAAGUGUAUUGACUACUUAGUGGUAACCACAAUCACAACUACUGCACAGCAGCAAUCCACUCGAGCUGACGAUGGGGGAAGGAGAAAUCUACUUCCGAUUGCUGGAUCUUUGUUGCCGGCUUUCUUCAAGGUGACCGAGUCACUUAAUGUGAAGUGGCACAGAGAGAUAAUGAACUGCAGUUCUUAGUGCUGAUUCUGCAGAUGCAUGGAGAAACACACUGUACAGGUUAACCAUCCAGGAGAAAACUGACACAACUCCAUCAAACCAAGACAGAGGAGGAGUCAAAACUCUCAUGUCAAACAUGAGAAGAAAAAAACUGAAAUAUACCAUGGGGAACCUGGUCCUUAACAUCCAUAAGACUAAAGAGCUUAUUGUGGACUUCAGGCACGCUAGGAGCCACAAUCACGUCUCCAUCUACAUCAAUGGAGCUGUAGUGGAGCGUGUAUCAAGCUUCAAUUUCCUUGGUGUCCCUGUACUCCUCCAUCCUGAUCAACACCUUUAUUUCCUGCGGAGCAUCGAGAAAGCUCACCCCUGGCCCAGGAUACUGACAGACUUUUACCGCUGUACCAUUGAGAGCUUACUCACCAACUGCAUCUCAGGGUGGUAUGGCAAUUGUCCCGUAUUGGACUGCAAAGCACUCCAGAAUGUGGUGAAAACUGCCCAGCGGAUUAUCGGCACCCAAUUGCCCACCACUGAGAACAUCUACUAUAAAAGCUGCCUGGGCAGGGCAAAAAGCAUUAUCAAAGAUGCAUCUCACCCUAACCAUGGACUUUUUACUCUCCUCCCAUCUUGUAGGCGUUACAGGAGCUUCUGCUCCUGCACCAGCAGGCACAGGAAGAGCUUCUUCCCUGAGGCUGUGCCCCUGCUGAACCUCACAUCACAGUGCUGAGCAGUACUGCACCCAUAUUGUACUGUCUCAGUACUUUUAUAUUUGUGUGCUGUUGCACUUAUCUUUUAUUCACAGAUAUUUUGUAAAUAACACUAUUCUUUGAAUUUCUGGUUCGAUGCUAACUGGCCUUGUAUCUGUACUCGGCACAAUAACAACAAAGUUGAAUCUAAUCUAAGUCUAACAAGUUGCAUCACUGUCUGCUACGGAGGGACUACCAUACAGGAUCAGGAAAGUCCGUAGGGGUUUGCAAGCCCAGCCCAGUUCAUCAUGGGCACUAGCCACCCAGUAUCGGGGACAUUUUCAAGAAGGCAUUAAGGAACCCCCUACUUCCCCACCACCCCCCCCCCCAAUCACCCCUAUUACAGGAGGUACAGGACACACACACUCGAUGACUUAGGAACAGCUUCUUCCCAUCCACGAACAGAUUUCUGAAUGGACAACAAAUGAACCCAUGAACACUACCUCAGUAGUUUUACUCUCUUUCUGCACUACUUGUUUAUUUAAAUCUCCAUAUAUUUAUCUAAUUGUAAUUUAUAGUAUUCUUAUGUAUUGCAAUGUACUGAAAAACAACAGAUUUCAUGUCAGUGAUAUGAAACCUGAUUCUGAUUCUUACCUCCAUCACAUCUGAGAUCACCACAAGAAUAUUCAAAUCACAGCCAGAACAAGCAUGUAUAUAAUUUACCAAUUAAGUAUGCAUAUUUGUUUUGGGAACUCCCAACCCAAGCCAGAUUAAAAACCUGUAAAUGCCUCUGAAUUUUGCUGUACAAACUACUCACUAGAUUGUGGAAUUUAAUCAAGACAAGUGUGAGGAAUUAUAUUUUGGGGUGCCAGAUAUUAACAAGACAUAUACAGUAAAUGGCACGGUCCCAAGGUGUAUUCAUGUUCAGAGAAACCUUGGAGUGCAAACUCAAUGCUUCCUUAUAACGGUGACACACGUGGAUAAGGUGGUGGUGAAGUAUUUGGCAUGCUUGCUUUCACAAGACAAUUCACUGAAUGCAAGAAUGGGGAUGCUGCCGUAUAAAUGAUUAGUUUGGGCACAUUGGUGUAUUGCGUACAAUUCUAGUCACAAGAUUACAGGACGGAUGUAAUUGUAUUAAAAGUGCAGAAGAAAUUUACCAGGACGUUGCCUGGAAUGCUGGGAUUUAGUAACAAGCAGAGCUUGGAUAAACUGUGUCCAUUGCUACUGGAACGCAGGUGCUUAAGGGGGUGACUUGAUUGAGAUUUAAGAAUUUGAGGAUCACAAUCAAAAUCUUUUUAGUAGGGGAGGGAACUAUAAAGCUUGACAAUAUAAUGUGGGCGAUGAUGACAAAAUUUAAAGGAGAUUGGAGGAGAAAGUUUUUCAACACAGAGAGCACUGGCUGUAUGGAAGAGCUCUCGGAGGUGGUAAAGGCAGAAAUAAUUACAAUGCUUAGGAGGCGUUUGGACAGAUACUUUGAGAGGAAUGGAGGUGUGGAGUGCAGGCCUAAUGCAGGCAAAUAGGAUGGGCAAAGUUGGCCCAUAUCUGGACUAUACAGUUUGGUGACUCUUGUUUAUAAAGUUUAUAAUCAUCUGCAGUGUACUACCUGAAAGAACCACAAAAGCAGAUUAGUAACAUGUUUUAAAAGGUAAAUAAAUAACUGAAGAGUACUAUGUUAUGAUUCUAGAGCCUAAUACUAAUGUUCUAUCAUUCAAAUCACCAUGCGGGAAGUAACAAAAAACACCAUCCUUACUUUGUCGAAGGUGAUUAUACCAAGCAUUACUAAUGCAAGUAAGAGACAUUUUCAGGUAAGGAAUUCAGUAUUAACACAACAGCUACUAGUACCAGCAUCAGAAAUGGAACAUAAUAAGAAAGCGUGUUGAGUACAUGAACUAUAGAUUUAUGGUCA
This is an RNA transcript of Hypanus sabinus (Atlantic stingray), 2894 nucleotides long. RefSeq lists it as uncharacterized. The record is from RefSeq and is a predicted model, not a curated record. The transcript has 4 exons. NCBI's taxonomy places the organism in Eukaryota, Metazoa, Chordata, Chondrichthyes, Myliobatiformes, Dasyatidae.